This 515-nucleotide ribosomal RNA is filed under the name Cladosporium sp. PIMO_64. RNAcentral describes it as "eukaryotic LSU rRNA". The stretch from base 159 to 312 matches the Rfam family "5.8S ribosomal RNA". Lineage: Eukaryota; Fungi; Ascomycota; Dothideomycetes; Cladosporiales; Cladosporiaceae. The record is from RNAcentral.
UUACAAGAACGCCCGGGCUUCGGCCUGGUUAUUCAUAACCCUUUGUUGUCCGACUCUGUUGCCUCCGGGGCGACCCUGCCUUCGGGCGGGGGCUCCGGGUGGACACUUCAAACUCUUGCGUAACUUUGCAGUCUGAGUAAACUUAAUUAAUAAAUUAAAACUUUUAACAACGGAUCUCUUGGUUCUGGCAUCGAUGAAGAACGCAGCGAAAUGCGAUAAGUAAUGUGAAUUGCAGAAUUCAGUGAAUCAUCGAAUCUUUGAACGCACAUUGCGCCCCCUGGUAUUCCGGGGGGCAUGCCUGUUCGAGCGUCAUUUCACCACUCAAGCCUCGCUUGGUAUUGGGCAACGCGGUCCGCCGCGUGCCUCAAAUCGUCCGGCUGGGUCUUCUGUCCCCUAAGCGUUGUGGAAACUAUUCGCUAAAGGGUGUUCGGGAGGCUACGCCGUAAAACAACCCCAUUUCUAAGGUUGACCUCGGAUCAGGUAGGGAUACCCGCUGAACUUAAGCAUAUCAAUAA